CAAAAGUUUGGUCCUGACUUUAGUAUCAACUUUAGCUAGACUUACACAUGCAAGUAUCCGCAACCCCGUGAGAAUGCCCUUACGUCCUCCACCACGAAGACAAGGAGCUGGUAUCAGGCACAUCCCUACAUUAUAGCCCAAGACACCUUGCUUAGCCACCCCCUCAAGGGAAUCCAGCAGUGAUAAACAUUAAGCCAUAAGUGAAAACUUGACUUAGUUAAGCUAGACUGGGCCGGUAAAUCUCGUGCCAGCCACCGCGGUUAUACGAGAGACCCAAGUUGAUGCACACCGGCGUAAAGAGUGGUUAGUCAAGACUUUUAAAAUAAAGCCGAACACCCUCAGAGCUGUUAUAAGCAUCCGAAGGUACGAAGUUCAAUCACGAAAGUAGCUUUAAAUCACAUGACCCCACGAAAGCUAGGGCACAAACUGGGAUUAGAUACCCCACUAUGCCUAGCUGUAAACAUAGAUAGCCAUCGCUACCCUGCUAUCCGCCUGGGGACUACGAGCGUAAGCUUAAAACCCAAAGGACUUGGCGGUGCUUUAGAUCCACCUAGAGGAGCCUGUUCUAUAACCGAUAACCCCCGUCUAACCUCACCCUUCCUUGUUCUUCCCGCCUAUAUACCGCCGCCGUCAGCUUACCCUGUGAAGGAUCCAUAAUAAGCAAAAUUGGCACAGCCCAAAACGUCAGGUCGAGGUGUAGCGUAUGGAAGGGGAAGAAAUGGGCUACAUUCACUGAAACAGUGAAUACAGAUGGCAUGAUGAAACACAUGCCUGAAGGAGGAUUUAGCAGUAAGCAGGAAAUAGAGUGUCCCGCUGAAAUCGGCCCUGAAGCGCGUACAUACCGCCCGUCACUCUCCCCGAACCUUAAUAUAAACCUAAAUACCUAAACACCUAUAAUACUCCUAGGGGAGGCAAGUCGUAACAUGGUAAGUGUACCGGAAGGUGUACUUGGAAUAAA
This 958-nucleotide non-coding RNA is filed under the name Synagrops bellus (blackmouth bass). RNAcentral's name for it is "12S ribosomal RNA". It matches the Rfam family "Bacterial small subunit ribosomal RNA". The record is from RNAcentral. RNAcentral also lists the same sequence under 1 other name. Lineage: Eukaryota; Metazoa; Chordata; Actinopteri; Acropomatiformes; Acropomatidae.